This 200-nucleotide ribosomal RNA is filed under the name uncultured bacterium. Its description in RNAcentral is "partial 16S ribosomal RNA". It matches the Rfam family "Bacterial small subunit ribosomal RNA", at positions 28 to 214 of the family's 1533-position model. The record is from RNAcentral.
GACGAACGCUGGCGGCGUGCCUAAUACAUGCAAGUCGAGCGAACUUUUAGCUUUCUUUCGGGAAAGCCCUGAGUUAGCGGCGGACGGGUGAGUAACACGUAGGCAACCUGCCGGUCAGAUCGGAAUAACCCACGGAAACGUGAGCUAAAACCGGAUAGAGGAGAGCUUCGCAUGAAGCACUCCGGAAAGGCGGAGCAAUC